This 464-nucleotide ribosomal RNA is filed under the name Vreelandella stevensii. RNAcentral describes it as "partial 16S ribosomal RNA". It matches the Rfam family "Bacterial small subunit ribosomal RNA", at positions 338 to 795 of the family's 1533-position model. The record is from RNAcentral. Lineage: Bacteria; Pseudomonadati; Pseudomonadota; Gammaproteobacteria; Oceanospirillales; Halomonadaceae.
CCUACGGGUGGCUGCAGUGGGGAAUAUUGGACAAUGGGGGCAACCCUGAUCCAGCCAUGCCGCGUGUGUGAAGAAGGCCCUCGGGUUGUAAAGCACUUUCAGUGAGGAAGAACGCCUGGUGGUUAAUACCCAUCAGGAAAGACAUCACUCACAGAAGAAGCACCGGCUAACUCCGUGCCAGCAGCCGCGGUAAUACGGAGGGUGCGAGCGUUAAUCGGAAUUACUGGGCGUAAGCGCGCGUAGGUGGCUUGAUAAGCCGGUUGUGAAAGCCCCGGGCUCAACCUGGGAACGGCAUCCGGAACUGUCAAGCUAGAGUGCAGGAGAGGAAGGUAGAAUUCCCGGUGUAGCGGUGAAAUGCGUAGAGAUCGGGAGGAAUACCAGUGGCGAAGGCGGCCUUCUGGACUGACACUGACACUGAGGUGCGAAAGCGUGGGUAGCAAACAGGAUUAGAUACCCUAGUAGUC